RNAcentral lists this ribosomal RNA (253 nucleotides) under uncultured bacterium. RNAcentral's name for it is "partial 16S ribosomal RNA". It matches the Rfam family "Bacterial small subunit ribosomal RNA", at positions 524 to 776 of the family's 1533-position model. The record is from RNAcentral.
UACAGAGGGGGCAAGCGUUGUUCGGAAUUGCUGGGCGUAAAGGGCGCGUAGGCGGCCCUCUAAGUCGAACGUGAAAUCCCCGGGCUCAACCCGGGAACUGCGUCCGAUACUGGAAGGCUUGAAUUCGGGAGAGGGAUGCGGAAUUCCAGGUGUAGCGGUGAAAUGCGUAGAUAUCUGGAGGAACACCGGUGGCGAAGGCGGCAUCCUGGACCGGCAUUGACGCUGAGGCGCGAAAGCCAGGGGAGCAAACGGG